GACAGAGGCCCCAAGCGUUUAGGCGGAAUCACUGGGCUUAAAGCGUGUGUAGGCGGACGCCUAAGUGUCUUGUGAAAUCCCACGGCUCACCCGUGGAACUGCUGGGCAUACUGGGCGUCUUGGGCCAACUAGGGGCAGCCGGAACAAGCGGUGGAGCGGUGAAAUGCGUAGAUAAUCGGCUUGGAACGCCGAAGGUGAAAACAGGCUGCUGGAGUUGUGCCG
RNAcentral lists this ribosomal RNA (222 nucleotides) under uncultured bacterium. Its description in RNAcentral is "partial 16S ribosomal RNA". It matches the Rfam family "Bacterial small subunit ribosomal RNA", at positions 524 to 742 of the family's 1533-position model. The record is from RNAcentral.